Non-coding RNA from Gasterosteus aculeatus aculeatus (three-spined stickleback), 1374 nucleotides. NCBI's taxonomy places the organism in Eukaryota, Metazoa, Chordata, Actinopteri, Perciformes, Gasterosteidae. The record is from RefSeq and is a predicted model, not a curated record.
AUGCGUGGAUUCUCUUCCGUUGACGCGCCACAUGGCACCGCUCUGUUAAACCAUCACUUGUGGAACGUUACCAGUAGAAGGUGCAGAUUGACGAAAGCGCAGUGCCCUCAGCAAGCUGCUUCAAACAAAGAAAAACCCAAUGAAACGCUGGUGAAAACCGCUGUGUGAGCAGCACAAACCAACCCUACUGCUGCGAACACGAUCGCUCACCAACAACGUCCGCCAUCAGCCCCUCGAGGGUGUUCUCGGCCCAGGCCCAAGGCCGCGCGCCCGCCAUGUGACCGUGGACGCCCCUGUGGAAAGAGGUCACUACGCAUUCAAGUACACCACGUUAAAAUGCCCCUAAAGUGCACAGCGAGACGUACGUUUUGGCCCACUUGUCCAGCUCCUCCCUCAGGUACUUCCCGGCCUUCUUGGGCUGAAGCCCCAGCGAGUUCCCCACCAGGUAGAUGCACUCCUGGGAGCCGUCGACCAGCGACAGGUCGGCUGCGGGGGCACCAGACGGAGGAAUCCUCACGGAUCUCAGGUACCGGACACUCACCUCUCCAAAGCACUCGUUUGGUUCACUCACCCUGAGGCAGGUCCGCCAUCCUGGGCACCAGGAACUUCCUCCUGAGGUGCCGCAGCGUGUCCUGUUGGUCCAGGUAGGACGCCACGUCUGCAGAGGUCGGGCCGCGGUCCAGCUGAGCCGCGAUCCGCUCCACGGUUUCCCUCGCUGUCAAGCCCACAAACCGGUCCAUGGCUGGGGGGGACGAGGACGCUGCUACGGGAUGUUUAUCUGCUUAGCCGACCUUUAGAUGAAACCAACAACGAGGUUCUGAAUCAGCGAGCAAACAUGCCAGAGAGGGAGCUCCCCUUGUUUUGUGGUUUCUCUCUGGUGGAAACACCAAGCUUCCAUUAGCUUCGCUUUACCUGUCUUCUGCUUGACGUAAUUAUAGAAUAAUAAUAAUAUUGACUUUAUUCAUUUAGAACCUUUUAAAGAACAAAGCACCGUAAGAAAAGUUAGAAAACAUCCCUUAUUUAAAGCCUGAAUUUAGAAGAAACAAUAUCACCAUUCCCCACGGUUAAAAUGAAAAAAUAAAUUGAAUUAAUGAAUCAAAUUGAUUAAAAAGUAAAUUAUUCAAAUAAAACAAAUUGAGUAAAAUAAAAUAAUUUAGUAAAAUAACAUCACUGAUAAAAAUGAAGCAGUAAUGUGACGACAACAACCUGCCACAUGUUUGUGCACAUGUGGCAGGUUCCACGCGAUGUCAGAACAGGCAUAACUAUAAACGUGUCUAACGUGGUUUAUUAUGAACAUCGUCCUCUUCUGUAAUUUUUCCAAAUUAAUGAAAGUAAUUGCGGUAGUUUCCGGUAACGCGUUAUCUGUAUGUCGUC